This 7408-nucleotide long non-coding RNA is filed under the name Sus scrofa (pig). RNAcentral describes it as "lncRNA (ENSSSCG00015034018.1)". Lineage: Eukaryota; Metazoa; Chordata; Mammalia; Artiodactyla; Suidae. The record is from RNAcentral.
AAGGUGCUCAACUUCCACGGUACCCUUUUUAGAUAUGGGAGUCCUUAGAAGAGAGGUCUACCUAGUUCCAUUUUCUUUAAUUAUCCUACCCUCCUCCAUAAUCAUCCUUUUCAAAAAGAAAGAAUAUCUCUCUCCUUUUCGAACCUUAUAAUAGUGGUUUGCCCAGAGAGACAAUUCAAGAAUGCAUAGCUCAUGAGGGUAGGUCCUGGGACUGCAAGCAGUAAGUACAGUUAAAUAACUUUGAAGGGGGCAUGGCCUUAUUUCAUUCUAGUGACAAAACAAGGCAUAGCCCUGUGUCUUUAUCUGUUUAUCUACGCUUUUCCCUUUCCAUCUGUCUUAGAAAUAGAAUUCCAAAGUGAGCUGGUUGUCAUGGAGAUGAGUAUAAAGCACUUUUGUUUGAACUGAAAAAUAAAGUUACAUAUUUCUGACAGAAAAUAAGUCUGAUAACUGUUUGUUUUGACAACAAUGACUGGUUUUCCAUUUCAGUUAAAUAGUAAACAUUUCCCAUAAAUCAAAUUAAUCGAAUCUGCUCCAAGGUUUUGACCAAAAUAUAUUUAAAGCACAAAUACAUAGAAUAUACUGAAAUAUGGAUCCUUUGCAAUUCUUUUGGAUGAAACACACAUACAUGUCAACCUAAAAAUGUUCAGUGAUGCAUAGCUUUCAAACUGAAUGUCCAUCCAAAGGAAACCAGAUCAAUGAAUUCUUGUAAAUUCAUACAAUGUAAUAAUGUCAUCCGUUAAAAUGCAUGAAGAGACUUACAUGUAUCUUCAGCUACAUCAAAAAUGUGAUAAAGCGGGAAUUCACUUGGUGGCUCAUGGCUCGGCACUUAGCGAACCCAACUAGGAUCUAUGAGGACGCAGGGUGCCUCCCUGGCUUCGCUCAGUGGGUUAAGGAUCCAUCGUUGCCAUAAGCUGUGGUGUAGGUCACAGAUGUGACUCAGAUCCCAUGUUGCUGUGGCUGUGAUAGAAAGAAACUUUCAAUCCAUCAUGAAAAAGAACAGCAGCAUACAUUCUAAAGUAAAGAUUAACAUAAGAUAGUUCGCUGAAUUCUGUGGUAUUAAUUAAAAAUGCUGAGGAAUCCCAAGAGUGCAGUACUAUGAUUUGACCACGUCCAGUGUCCAAUGUUGGGCAAAUUCUUUCUUAUGCCCGAGACUUGUUUGCAUUCAUUGAUUUACACAAGGCUAGAGAAACAAACCUGGGAUGCGAGUGAAGAGAUGGAAGUAACAUGCCACCCAUAUCAAACUUUUAAGUUGAUAAUUACACCAGAUGGACUAUAUGUGUGUGUGCUCAGGUCUGGGGGCAACAGAGCCAGACUUUCAAAUAAUUUUAAAAAUAAAACAAACAAAAAAUUCCCACAGUUUUAUACAAACUCUUCCAGAAAACAGAAAAUACUUCACAGGUUAUUUAAUGAGACCAGAUAACAUUGACAGUAAUAUCUGACAAAGACAUUAUAAGAAAAAAAUUCAGAUCAAUUUCUCUAAUAACGUAUGCUCAAAAAGUUCAUAAGUAAAUUAUUAGCUGAUGAAUCCAGCAGUACAUAAAAAGGAUAAUUCACCCAAAUAGGGAUCUGAAUGUGGACUUAAUAUUAAAAAACUCAUAAAUAUAACUUACCUUAUUAAGAGAAAAAAAAUCAUGAUCAUCUUAAUAGAUGUAGAAAAAGUAUUUGAGGAGGUCUCUGGUGGUGCAGCAGGUGAAGGAUCUGGCAUUGCUGCAACCAUGGCAUAGGUAACAGCUGCAGCUCGGAUUUGAUAGCUGGCCUGGGAACUUGCUUAUGCCAAGGGUGCAGCCAGAAUGCAUAAAUAAAUAAAGUAUACAAUCAGUGGUUUCUGAAGGUAUAUGCAACACCAACAAUCAAUUAAAAAAAGAUGUACAACACCAACAAUCAAUUAAAAAAUAAAGUAUACAAUUCAGUGGUAUGUCCAUAGGUAUGUGCAACACCAACAAUCAAUUUAAAAAGAAAAAGCAUUUGUUAAAAGUGAAUAUCUAUUUAUAGUUUAGAAGUUACAAAUUUGAUACAGAAUGAUCUGCUUUGAAUCUAAUAUAUAGUAUCUACAACCUACAGAAAACAUUAUACUUAAUGGUGAAUUAUUGAAAAAAAAAAUUCCUAUGAGAACAGCCAUAAGACAAGGAUGCUUAAUAUCACCAUAUCAAUUCAAUAUCACACUAGAGGUCCUAGUCAGUGAAAUAAGGCAAGAAAAUAAAAUAAAAGAUAAUAGAUUUGGAAAAGAAAUAAAAUUUCAUUGCUCCUGGAGAAUAUAAUUAUGUAUGAAUAAGCUCCAAAAGGAUACACAAACCACAAAAAGUGAACUUGGCAAAGGUAUGUGUGUGUGCAUACACACACACACACAUACAUACUAUAUGUGUGUAUAUAUAUAUAUAUAUAUGUGCUAAUCUUUUCACGUUGUGUGUAUAUACACUAGCAACAAACUCUCAGAAGACAAAAGUUUUAAAAUAUUGCAAUUUUCAAAAGCAUAAAAAGUCAGAAGUGUGUGAAUCAAUUUAAUAAUUCAUGUGCCAUACCUCUUAGCUGUGGCUAGGAUUUCCACCAAUAGUAUGUUCAGUAAAUGUGGUGAGAUGGGCAUAUUUAUCUUACUCCUAAUCUUAGAGAAAAUGCUUUCAGCUUUUCACAAUUGAGUAUGAUGUCAGCUGUGGGCUUAUCAUACACAUCCUUAGUUAUGCUGAAGUACAAUUCCUCUAUAUCCAGUUUUUAUCAUAAAUGGCUGUUGAAUUUUGUCAAAAGCCUUUUCUACAUUGGUUGAGAUGAUCAUAGGAUUUUUAUGCUUUGAUUUGUUAAUGUGGUGCAUCACACUGAUUGAUUUUCAGGUAAUGAUCCAUCCUUGCAUUCCUGGUAUAGAUCCCACUUGAUCAUUGUACAUGAUCCUUUGAAUGUGUUAUUGAAUCAGUUUGCUGAUACUUUUCAAGGAUAUUUGCAUCUAUGUUCCUCAGUGUUAUUGGCCUGUAAUUUCCUUUUUUUUGUGAUGUCUUUGUCUGGUUUUGGUAUCAAGAUGACGCUGGUCUCAUAGAAUCAGUUUGGAAGCACUCCUUCCUCUGAAAUAUUUUUGACUAGUUUGAGAAGAAUAGGUGUUACCUCAUCUCUAAAUGUUUGGUGGAAUUCAUCUGUGAGUACGUUUGGUCUUGGACUUGUUUUGUUGGAAGUUUUUUUUUUUGGUUUUGUUUUUUUAAUUACUGUGAUUAUCUCUACCUUUCAAUUGGUACAUUGAGACCAUUGAUAUUCAAAACACUAUUGAUAUGGUUAUAUUACUAUCUACCACCUCUGUUACCAUUUUCUUUUUGCUGCCCUUCUUUGUGCCUAUUUUUGUCUUCCACUCUUUUUCGGCCCUUUGUGGUUUUAUCUGAUUAAAUAAUUAUAUAGGAGUUCCCGUCAUGGCUCAGGGGUUAACGAAUCCGACUAGGAACCACGAGGUUUUGGGUUCGAUCCCUGGCCCCGCUCAGAGAGUUAAGGAUCCAGCAUUGCCAUGAGCUGUGGUGCAGCUUGCAGACGCAGCUUGGAUCCUGCGUUAAUGUGGCUCUGGCAUAGACGGGCGGCUAUAGCUCUGAUUAGACCCCUAGCCUGGGAACCUCUACAUGCCAUGGGUGGGGCCCUAAAAAGAAAAAAAAAAAAAAAAUGAUAUAAUCUAGUUUUAUUCCAUUUUCUCCCUUUUUUUAGUAUAUGAGUAAUAUAUUAUUUUUUUUUUUUUUUUGCUCUUUUUAGUGGUUGCCCUAGGGUUUGCAAUACAUAUUUACAACUUAUACAAGUGCACUUUCAAAUAAUGCUGUAGCACUUCACAGGUAGUAUGAGUACCUUAUAAUAGCAAAAUAUAAAUUAUUCUAAUUUCUCCUUCCUGUCCCUUGGAUCACUGUUGUCAUUCAUUUCACUUACAUAUAAACAUUACACAGUUAGAUCAAUAAGGAAUAAGAAAAAUUAAAAUUUUUAUUUUAUUUUCACUUAUUCUUUUUCUGAUGCUUUUCCUUUCUUCAUGUAGUUUCAAGUUUCUGAAGUUUAUUAUUUUUCUUUUCUCUAAAAACUUACUUUUUAAUCAUUUUUUUCAAGGCAAGUCUACAGGAAAUGAAUUCCCUCAAUUAUUGUUUGCUUGAGAAAGAUUUUAUUUCUCCACUUUUGAAGGAUAAUUUUUCAACAUACAGAAUACUAGGUUUGUUUGUUUGUUUUCUCUCUUAAUUCUCUGAAUACUUUACUCCAUUCUCGUUUUGCAUGAUUUUGGAGAUCAGACAAGAUUGGACACAUUCAAAGUGGUAUGGCUGUAGACAUGGCUUGCAUGGUUUCUGAAGAAAAAGUGGAUACAAGUCUUAUUUUUGUUUCUCUUUGUUUUGAAGGAAAAAAAGUCCUAAUGGAAAAAUUCCCUUGAGAACAUGAAUCUUGAAUGAUGCAUGUAAAGAUGGGAGGAAAUUAGAUCAGCCAGAACAGAAGGGAGGAUAUUAAAGCAUAUGAGUGAAAAUAGAGUGGUGAGGAGAGGAGAAGGAGCAAAAGUAGAGGGUGUCUUUAAUAUGAUAUGCUGGAUACUUAUAUUUAAAAUAUUAAUGGAGCUUAUUGCUUACUCUAUAGUAGUAUCUUGCCUAAUAUUUCAAACUAAUAUAUGCUCACUAAAUAUUUACGGAAUAAGUGAGCUGACCAAUGAGCAUGCUAGUAAUUAAUUUAGGUCAUCAAAAAUAUGUCUGUAAUUCCCAGGCUGUUAUUUUAUUUUCUUGGAAAUAAUUUAAGAAGGGCAUUAUUUGCCUAUCUCAGUUGAAGAGCUGUAAACAGUAGCUGACCAGCUUUUUAGCAUUUGGGAAGGCAUUAAGGAAGAAUUGUAACUACUGCCAGAAAAUACAAUGUAUGAAACAAGGAGGAUUUGACCAGAUCAGUUCAUGUCAGACUAGAAACUGCCCUAAGGGCUACAAUACUUUUUUCACUGUCCUUUUCCUCGUCCAUAUCUUUUCCCUUCUACUUCGUUCUUCUUCCCUAUCUGUCUGACAAUUACUUUCUUCUUCUGUCUCUUGAUGAGUAUUCCUAGUAUUCUGGGUAUAUUUCUUCUCUCGCUGUAUUUCCUCCUUCCCUUUCUAUCUUUCUUUGUCGCUCUUUGCUGUUUCUCUACUAUCUCUUUCUAGUUUAUUUCUUUUCAUAUUCUUCACCUUUUCCCAUUUAUAUCCAUCAUUAUGUAGAAAUCAAAUGAAUUUUUUAAAUGAUGUUAAAUAGUUUGUUACUUCUAGAUUUUAAAAGAAAUCCAAAUAUCAUUUUAUAUGCUUUUAAGGGAAACUAUAAGUUAAUUGUAGUCCAAGAGCCAGAGGGAUAACCUCCUCAAAAUCAGGCUCAACUCGACUUCUUCAGGAAACUCCCUGACCUCUAGAUUUAGUUAAUAAACUCUCCUUACCUACCAUAUACUAUGAAACAAUAAAAUUUAAUUAUCAUUUUCAUUAUUACUUUGCAUUUUAUGACUUUUUUCUGCUCAUAUGUAAAUUCUGUGAAGUCAGAGAUUAUAUUGUUUGGUCCAUCCUACAAGCCCUGGGUACCUAGCUGGCUACCUUCUGGAGCAUAGAAGGCAGUUAAACAAUGUUUGUUAAAUGAAAAAGGUAGUGAAUAAAAACUUUCAACUCAUCCUUAUUUUCAUCUUUUCAAAAUUAGCCCUCUUUUCUCCAUCUUUGUAACUCAUCUAAAACUUUUCUACUCAGUCCACAGUUCCCUGAAAAUGUGAAGACCGGAAGUGAACUGUGGUGAGUGUGAUAAUGAAGCCAUUCUCAUAGGUGGUGGGGUCUGAAAUAAAUUCUACAAAUUUUAAAAGUUUCCUGCUGUGAUCUCAUCUUUAAACUGUAACGUGCUACACACUUCUCUAUUUCCCUGCACCUCGUGAUGCUCCAGAAAUACCUUUUCUGUCAUUGCUUUACACACCACAUUCCCUAGACUUUCUACCUAUUAACUACAAUGGCUUUCUUGACUUAGAGUUUAGAGCCUAGUGUUUCUUAUUGCCAUCCUGCAGGAUGUAAUUUUUUUUUUUUCCUAAAAGGGUAAAACACCAGAUAAAUGAAGAUAAAUUGUUGGCUUUGUUCCAAAACAAGCUUGUUGUUUUAGGACCCCAAACUGUCUGAAACAUCAUUAAGAAGCUGCAGGCCACCCAAGGUUGUGCAUCAAUUAGCAAUUAGGUCACACGUUGGGUGGUUGAAGGCAUUCAGCCUUUGGCCUUGUUCCUCACAGCAUACACAGGCAGGGCACCGGUACCCAAACAAUGCCCACCCUGCUGUCUCUUGUUCCUUAAUUGGGAUGACUUAGAGAUGCUAGUGUCCACAGGCAAACCCUGUCGCCCCAAUUAGGCCUCAUUAGUGGCUCUGCCAGUGGUGACCACUGCAAAGUGAUAUUUGCUCUUGGGGAUGCUUUGUGAGGUGCUCAGAGUUCCUGCAGAGAAGGAGCAGGGAUGCGCUUUCUACUCUUUCCAGGAGCAAACUCCUUCUCUCAAUUUUCUCCAGCCACUGUCAUUUUGGUUACUGUCACUCUCUGAGUCUCAGUUGUUACUACAGAGCCUAGGGUGGGUGGUAGGUGGCGAUUCUUAACACACACUCACUUAGAACUGGUCUAUGUUUCCUCCUCUCCCCCCAUCUUCCUCCCCGCUCCCAGAGAUUUUUUCCAUGAAAUACAGAAAAUGUGUUCAGAGAGAGGCUUCUGGAACCCAAAGACUACAACACCCUGAAAUGUCCCUUAAGUCAUUUUCAGCUGACUGAAAUGUGAAAAAUAGAAAAUCAUCAUCUUGAAAAAUGCAUAGGGAAUGAAGAAUGCAAUUGCAAUUGUUUUUAUUUUUCAGGUCAGGCAUAUUUCAAAAGGACCACUUCUGAGAAUGGUGCCGUGAACUCUUCACAAUGGAAAGCUGCUUAUUGACCUGACCAUGCUGUGGAGAGAGGUCCACGCCCACACUAACAGAGGACUUUCUGUACCUCUUUUAGUUCUUGCACAUUUAGUUUAAAGGGAGACACAAAGUGAUGCUUUCUUGGGGUCACUGGCACAAACCCUUCUGGGUUAUGGCGUAGUUAGAGUUUAGCCCAUGGUCCUUGCAGACAAGAGCAAUGCCGGUUAGGUCGUAGUCCCCUCUGUUGAGAUGGGGCAGGAUUGAGCAGCAAAGUGGUUAGAGCCGCCUGCUGCCAUCCUUUCAGUUCACUCAAAGAUCAUUAAAGUGCUUGCUUUAGUAUUUUUAAUUUUUUUCUUAAGAAUUGGAGGGAUUAAAAUAAAUAUACUCAAAUGAAUAAGACUGGGGACCAAGUGAUCAGUACUAGGGGGCAUUAAAAACGGUGGAUCUGAGGGUGUUCCCUUGUGGCGCAGCAGACUAAGGAUCUGGCGAGGUCACUACAGCAGCUUGGGUCACUGCUGUGGCGUGGCUCCAUCCCUGGCCAGGGAACUUUCAAAAGCCAUGGGAGUAGCCAAAAAAAAAAAA